GAAAGCCUGAAAGUAUUAGAAAAACAAUGCAAGCUGUGAAAGAAAAGAUAGUAAGUUUGAAUGCUACACGCAAGACAAGACAAGAAGCAAAGGCCGAAGAAAGGGCCGAGAAAGAGAUAGCGAAAGCUAGAAUGGAUGUGGCUCGUGAGAUUAGGUUGGCGAAAGAAGCAGAAGCAGAAAUGGAUCUUCAUGUAGCAAAUACAGGAAAAAAGGGUUAACCAAGAAAUAUAUAAGUUCACUGCUAAUAAUCCCAAUCUGGUUGAAGAAGUAAGUCUCAUGGAUGAGGCAACAAAACCAAAACACGCAA
Molecule: RNA transcript, 307 nt
Organism: Vigna unguiculata (cowpea)
Lineage: Eukaryota; Viridiplantae; Streptophyta; Magnoliopsida; Fabales; Fabaceae
Source: RefSeq, a predicted model, not a curated record